Molecule: long non-coding RNA, 325 nt
Organism: Clupea harengus (Atlantic herring)
Lineage: Eukaryota; Metazoa; Chordata; Actinopteri; Clupeiformes; Clupeidae
Source: Ensembl
GCACACAGACAUGCAGGCUGUUCUUCUGCUCUUACUGCUGGCUGGAACCUCCAAAGGUCUAAACUCCUUCUGCAAUGCUACUCAGGAUGCUGCAUGUUAUGGGGCUCUGGGAGGACCUGUGUAUCUGCAGCUGAUGAGGGACACCACAGGAUAUGAACUGAAGUUGUUCAGUGGAGAUAAGAAUAUUUUUACAUCCAAAAGCUCCAAGAUAGUGUUCUACACCCCAUCAUUCCGUCAGAGGUGGCAGUUUGUUCCUGAUAACGGGACCCUGAUUAUAAACCCUGCAGAGAGGAGAGAUGCAGGAACAUACAGAGUGGAGAUCCAU